This 305-nucleotide ribosomal RNA is filed under the name uncultured bacterium. RNAcentral's name for it is "bacterial SSU rRNA". It matches the Rfam family "Bacterial small subunit ribosomal RNA", at positions 337 to 659 of the family's 1533-position model. The record is from RNAcentral.
UCCUCCGGGACGCAGCCGUCGGGAAUAUUGCGCAAUGGAAGAAACUCUGCCGCCGUGCCUCCUCUUCUCUUCAGAAGGUUUUCGGAUUGUAAACUAUUGUCGUGAGGGAAGAAGAUGACAGUACCUCAGGAGGAAGCUCCGGCUAACUAUGUGCCAGCAGCCGCGGUAAUACAUAGGGAGCAAGCGUUAUCCGGAAUUAUUGGGUGUAAAGGGUGCGUAGACGGGAAAUUAAGUUAGUUGUGAAAUCCCUUGGCUUAACUGAGGAACUGCAACUAAAACUGAUUUUCUUGAGUACUGGAGAGGAA